CAACCCUCAAGCCCCCCCGGGAGCUUGGUGUUGGGGAUCGGCCCGCCCCUAGCGGCGCGCCGGCCCCGAAAUCUAGUGGCGGUCUCGCUGUAGCUUCCUCUGCGUAGUAGCACACCUCGCACCGGAACGCGGCGCGGCCACGCCGUUAAACCCCCCACUUCUGAAGG
This 167-nucleotide unclassified non-coding RNA is filed under the name uncultured Cylindrocarpon. RNAcentral's name for it is "sequence contains ITS2". Lineage: Eukaryota; Fungi; Ascomycota; Sordariomycetes; Hypocreales; Nectriaceae. The record is from RNAcentral.